Molecule: ribosomal RNA, 233 nt
Filed under: uncultured bacterium
Lineage: Bacteria
Description: partial 16S ribosomal RNA
Rfam family: Bacterial small subunit ribosomal RNA
Source: RNAcentral
CGGGCAACCUGCCCCUCUCUCUGGGAUAACCCCGGGAAACCGGAGCUAAUACCGGAUACUCCGGCUGGAUCGCAUGGUCCGGCCGGGAAAGGUCCGCCGGAGAGGGAUGGGCCCGCGGCCUAUCAGCUUGUUGGUGGGGUCAUGGCUCACCAAGGCGACGACGGGUAGCUGGUCUGAGAGGACGACCAGCCACACUGGGACUGAGAUACGGCCCAGACUCCGUACGGGAGGCA